Molecule: long non-coding RNA, 855 nt
Filed under: Cricetulus griseus (Chinese hamster)
Lineage: Eukaryota; Metazoa; Chordata; Mammalia; Rodentia; Cricetidae
Description: lncRNA (ENSCGRG00000024842.1)
Source: RNAcentral
GGUCGGAACACCCUGCCACUGAAUGAUUGGAUCUUGAAAUCUGUGCCCUCCCACCAGGUGUCCAUGGGUAUAUAAGACCACACAGCAUGCCUCUGAAGCCAGAGAGUCCUAGACACAGCUUCUAGAACAGGACAGGAGGAAAGACCAGGCCCUCUUUCAGAGAAUCUCAGUAGCUGUUCAAGGAAACCUCAGGAUAAUGAUGGCAGGAAAACACAUCGUGGAAGACCAGAUCAAGGAGGAGUACAGCCUGUUUGGAGGCCCAGACAAAUUGAAGCCUCUCAGAGACACACUGAUGGGUGGCCUGUAUGGAGAUCACUUGAAGACUCCUGGAUCAGAGGAAGGGUUCGCAACACAGGGGGAUGAAGGAAAGUACCAAGAGGGUCCAGAGGACCCCUUGUUUUCAUUGGCCUAUGCCUUUGGUAUUAGCCAGACUUUGAUGAACAAGACCUCAUGGCCCAUCAGGAAGGCUCCCUGUGUCUCCUGCUGGAGCACGGAGAGAUUGCCAGAAGCCUUUCCAUGCCUCAACAUUUCGUCUUGCUUGGUCUGUCUUUGGACAUGGGGUAACACCAGCUCUUGUCAAGAGGUCCAGAGCCAGUACCCAGUGGCCAGGGCAGCCAGUGCAUUGUCUUGCUUGAAGGGAUUCCAGCCCCCUGAUAACUCAGGCUCUCCAGCCUCUUGCGUGGACUGUCUUUGGACAUGGGGUAACACCAGCUCUUGUCAAGAGAUCCAGAGCCAGUACGCAGUGGCCAGGGCAGCCAGUGCAUUGUCUUGCUUGAAGGGAUUCCAGCCCCUUGAUAACUCAGGCUCUCCAGCUUUGGCUGUGGACACUUUGAGCCACCGUCCCCAAGAGGGAUG